AUUUAGAUGGCUCAGUUGAUAGAGUAUGGGACUCCUGAUCUCGGGGUUGUGAGUUCAAACCCCACAUUGGAUA
This 73-nucleotide transfer RNA is filed under the name Canis lupus familiaris (dog). It matches the Rfam family "tRNA". From Rfam's summary of the family: Transfer RNA (tRNA) molecules are approximately 80 nucleotides in length. Lineage: Eukaryota; Metazoa; Chordata; Mammalia; Carnivora; Canidae. The record is from Rfam by way of RNAcentral. RNAcentral also lists the same sequence under 2 other names.